Syngnathus acus (greater pipefish) is the source of this 3054-nucleotide RNA transcript. It is a transcript of the gene named exocyst complex component 3-like 1, with no coding region annotated. The transcript has 17 exons. The record is from RefSeq and is a predicted model, not a curated record. NCBI's taxonomy places the organism in Eukaryota, Metazoa, Chordata, Actinopteri, Syngnathiformes, Syngnathidae.
UCCUGUUGGCGCCACAACAGGAAAAUGGCUCAGGGAGUUGGUAUAGAGAAAAAGUUGAAUGGAUAAGUGCUCCAUCCUCUUUUCUUAUUUUCCGCGUAUCUGUCAGGAGACUUGUGCACGGACAGGCGUCUGGAAUCACAAUGUCAUCAGAGAAUCAUGUUGGUGACAAACCAGAUUUAACAAUGGUAGUACCUGAUGUGUGGCCAGAAGUGGAGAGAGCGGAGCAUUUGGCCCGGGGGGCUGCAUUGAAGUGGGCUUCGGGGGUUUUCUGUCGACCUGAACAUCUGAGACGACUGAGCCAGUACAGGAAGAGAGAGAGUCAGCGAACUGCCUCUAUACAUACAAGACUCAAGUUAAUGGUUCAAUCAUACUUGGAAGAAGUGGGUUGGGGCAUGGAACAGCUCAGAGAGGCCCAGGCUGAACUGUGGGAACCAUGUCAGGCUUUAAAGAAAGCUGGAGUGGAGUAUAACAGUAACCGAGAUGAAAUUAAAUCUCUGGAGAGGCUGAGAGAAGUAUCAGUUAACCACCGUCAGCUCCUCACUGCAAUCAACAACCUGCCAAGACUUUACUCUGUUGGAAGCAUGGUUUUCGAAACAGAGCGUCUGGUGGAGUCAAGAAGGCUCCUGGAAGCCCACGCCUACCUGAUGAAUCUGGAACAAUGGCAGGAUGACAUCCUCUGGCAGCUUAAUGGGGCUGCUGGGAUGCAAGGAAGUGAGCUCAGCACUGAUGACCAGGAGCUGGUGUCCAAAUACUUCUCAGGUGUUAGGAAACUGGGGGAGUCUCUGGGAAAGGAGCUGUGGGCAGUUGUGAGAAAUACCUUUGCUGUAGUUCACCAAAACCCCACAUCGUUUGUAUCGACUGUGAGGAUUAUAGAGCGAGAAGAGGCUAUUGACAGAGUUCUGCUGGAGGAACGAGCUAAGGGCAAUGCCAGGCCCCUAUCCCCUGGACGACCUCGCUGCUGGAGAGCACGUUUCUUCCAGGUUCUGGAGGAAGUGGUGACUGCUCGGUUUUGUGGUGUGUCUUACCUUCACACACAGGGUCCAGGUUUGGUAGGGCGUCUCUCUACUCUGCAGGAUGCUGUUAUGUCCAAUCUGGCCACAGUACGCCACUUGCUGGAGCCCUGCGUCCCACCACACUACCGGCUAACUAGAGCCUACCUCAAGGCGAUCCACCACUGUUUACAUGCUCACUUGACACAGGUUAGCAGUUGGGACCUGGAGAGUGGGGAGAUUUUCGCUGUGCUCAACUGGGUACUACAUGUCUACAACAGCCCUGAAAUGAUGGGUCAUCCAGAGCUGCUGUAUGACAUGAAGGGGGAAGAGCUGGAACCUCUGAUCUCUCCUGAGGGACUAGAGCAACUUCAGACCAAAUAUGUCUCAAGUGUUCGGAAGAGUGUGUCUGAAUGGAUGCAUAAAGCUCUGCAGGUGGAGCUGCAAGACUGGCAAAGGGACCAGGAGCCAGAGACAAACCAUGAAGGUUUCUACCAAACCAGCCUACCAACUAUCAUCACUCAGAUGUUGGAAGAAAAUGCCCGUGUGGCCCUAAUGAUUGGCAAAUCCCUCAGAAACCAAACAAUCCAAAUGGGGCUGUGUGAAAUGGAGAACCUUCUCAACAGAUUUCGAGAAGCUCUGGUGAGAUUUGGGAAAGAGCGUUGCAGCGAUCCAAUUAACAGCAAAAGCAAGUUCUACCUCCACUAUCUACUUGCCUCCAUUAGUAAUUGUAUCAUUCUCAAAAAAUCUACAGAGAGCCUUCAACAGCAACAGUCAUCCUGCGAAACAGAACCGUUUUCACGGGCUCCUCCCAACCCAUUGGCAGCUCUGGAUCGAGUAGUACGAAGGGCUUGUCGCAUGUUAAUGGAUCAGCUCCUGCUGGACCUAAAGCCAUUCCUCACUGGCCUACUGACACGGCCCUGGCUGAUUCAGGGAGAGCCCACUCCCAAACUCUGCCAGAUCCUGGAAUAUCAUCUGGACCUGUACAGCCAUGUUCAACUGCCUUGCCGACAGCGUCUGCAGGAGGAAGCCCAGUGGUUGACAGUGGUGGAGUAUGUCAAAGCAUUGAUGCAGAAGAGGCUGGUAUGUCGCAGUGCUGAGGAAAGGAGGAAAUUAACUCAGCAGAUGGUUAAGGAUGACCAGCAGUUUCAAGAAACUUUCCAUGGUGUGGCAGGUGAUGGGUUACAAUCUGAAGUGGAACCAUUGACCUUACUUCCAGUCUUGGCUGAUUUCAUCAAACUUCAAGACCCCAGCAUGCUCCCUCUUGAGGUGUCUGGACUUGCAACAAAAUAUCCCGACAUCAGUGAAGAGCAUGUGUCUGUGUUGCUGGACAUCCGUGGUGACGUCUCCAGGGACACAAGAGUGUCCGUACUGGAGCUUCUGCAACAGAGUACCACCCCUCUGCAAGCUGCAUACCGCCCUAUUUUCACAGAUAUCCAGGCGUCUCCUUCAACUAUGGCCUUCUGCCUACCAACUGCCAAAUGUACAUGAUGAGAGACUUUGCACCUGUAGACUCUGAAUAGAGCAAACGAUCAUCCCAACAUGCAUGUUGGUGUGCGGGAUGCUUUGACAUUACACAAUUGUUUUUACUUUUUGGGAAAUGAACAAGCUACAGUAUGUUUUUGAUUUACAGUCAUUCACAGGUCCUAUGUAGUUCCAGUGCAACCUCCAGCUGAACGCAAUUUAUUCCAUGAUGUUUGGGUGACUUCCAAGUUGUCAUUUCAAAAUAAAUGUUAAUGUUGUGUCCUUAAUAUGAUAGGUGCAUGUAUUGAUAAGAAUAUAAACUUUACUCCUGUUAAGAUUCUGCAUAUAGUUUUUCCAGAUCUACUGACCAAGCCAAGGUGAACUAUAAACCCCAAUUCCAACUAAAUUGGGAUGUUCUGUAAAACACCCCUCUGUGAGUCAUCACCUUAUCAUUGUGGAGGGGUUUGCGUGUCCUAAUGAUCCGAGGAGCCAAGUCGUCUGGGGCUUUAUGCCCCUGGCAGGGUCACCCAUGGCAAAAGGGCCAGGCAAAGCACCGCUCAUAUAGCCCUUGAUUAAUGAAAAUGGAUUCCGUUCUCACUUG